GCGCCCGUAGCUCAUUGGAUAGAUUUAAGUGGCUACGGGCAAAAGGGUCAGGAGUUCGAAUCUCUUCGGGCGCGCCA
RNAcentral lists this transfer RNA (77 nucleotides) under Rhodocyclaceae bacterium. Its description in RNAcentral is "tRNA-OTHER". It matches the Rfam family "tRNA". From Rfam's summary of the family: Transfer RNA (tRNA) molecules are approximately 80 nucleotides in length. Their secondary structure includes four short double-helical elements and three loops (D, anti-codon, and T loops). Further hydrogen bonds mediate the characteristic L-shaped molecular structure. tRNAs have two regions of fundamental functional importance: the anti-codon, which is responsible for specific mRNA codon recognition, and the 3' end, to which the tRNAs corresponding amino acid is attached (by aminoacyl-tRNA synthetases). tRNAs cope with the degeneracy of the genetic code in two manners: having more than one tRNA (with a specific anti-codon) for a particular amino acid; and 'wobble' base-pairing, i.e. permitting non-standard base-pairing at the 3rd anti-codon position. Lineage: Bacteria; Pseudomonadati; Pseudomonadota; Betaproteobacteria; Rhodocyclales; Rhodocyclaceae. The record is from RNAcentral.